GAAACGUUAUCGAUAAGAAGAGAGCGUCUAGGCGAACAAUGUUCUUAAAGUUUGACCUCAAAUCAGGUAGGAGUACCCGCUGAACUUAAGCAUAUCAAUAAGCGGAGGAAAAGAAACCAACCGGGAUUGCCUUAGUAACGGCGAGUGAAGCGGCAAAAGCUCAAAUUUGAAAUCUGGUACCUUUGGUGCCCGAGUUGUAAUUUGGAGAGGGCAACUUUGGGACCGUUCCUUGUCUAUGUUCCUUGGAACAGGACGUCAUAGAGGGUGAGAAUCCCGUGUGGCGAGGAGUGCGGUUCUAUGUAAAGUGCCUUCGAAGAGUCGAGUUGUUUGGGAAUGCAGCUCUAAGUGGGUGGUAAAUUCCAUCUAAAGCUAAAUAUUGGCGAGAGACCGAUAGCGAACAAGUACAGUGAUGGAAAGAUGAAAAGAACUUUGAAAAGAGAGUGAAAAAGUACGUGAAAUUGUUGAAAGGGAAGGGCAUUUGAUCAGACAUGGUGUUUUGCGCCCUCUGCUCCUUGUGGGUGGGGGAAUCUCGCAGUUCACUGGGCCAGCAUCAGUUUUGGUGGCAGGAUAAAUCCGUAGGAAUGUAACUUGCUUCGGGAAGUAUUAUAGCCUAUGGGAAUACUGCCAGCUGGGACUGAGGACUGCGACGUAAGUCAAGGAUGCUGGCAUAAUGGUUAAUGCCGGUCUUGAAACACGGACCAAGGAGUCUAACGUCUAUGCAAGUG
This 725-nucleotide ribosomal RNA is filed under the name Saccharomyces cf. bayanus/pastorianus. RNAcentral describes it as "LSU rRNA". It matches the Rfam family "Eukaryotic large subunit ribosomal RNA", at positions 1 to 692 of the family's 3401-position model. The record is from RNAcentral. Lineage: Eukaryota; Fungi; Ascomycota; Saccharomycetes; Saccharomycetales; Saccharomycetaceae.